GAUGAACGCUGGCGGCGUGCCUAAUACAUGCAAGUCGAGCGAACAGACGAGGAGCUUGCUCCUCGGACGUUAGCGGCGGGCGGGUGAGUAACACGUGUAUAACCUACCUAAAAUUCUGGGAUAACUUCGGGAAACCGGAGCUAAUACCGGAUAAGAUAUUGAAGCGCAUGGUGGAAUAGUGAGAGACGGUGGUGCGGGCUCGUAUAGAUGGAUCCGCGCCGCAUUAGCUAGUUGGUAAGGUAACGGCUUACCAAGGCAACGAUGCGUAGCCGACCUGAGAGGCUGGUCGGCCACACUGGAACUGAGCCACGCUCAUGACUCCUACGGGAGGCAGCAGUAGGGAAUCGUCCGCAAUGGGCGAGAGCCUUACGGAGCAGCCCCGCGUCAGUGAUGACAGUCUUCGGAUCGUAAAAAUCUGUUACUAGGGAAGAACCAAUGUGUCAGUAACUAUGCCCGUCUUGACGGUACCUAAUCAGAAAGCCACGGCUAACUACGUG
This 497-nucleotide ribosomal RNA is filed under the name uncultured bacterium. Its description in RNAcentral is "partial 16S ribosomal RNA". It matches the Rfam family "Bacterial small subunit ribosomal RNA", at positions 28 to 507 of the family's 1533-position model. The record is from RNAcentral.